RNAcentral lists this ribosomal RNA (301 nucleotides) under uncultured bacterium. Its description in RNAcentral is "partial 16S ribosomal RNA". It matches the Rfam family "Bacterial small subunit ribosomal RNA", at positions 509 to 807 of the family's 1533-position model. The record is from RNAcentral.
CAGCCGCCGCGGUAAUACGGAGGGAGCUAGCGUUGUUCGGAUUUACUGGGCGUAAAGCGCACGUAGGCGGAUCGAUCAGUCAGGGGUGAAAUCCUGGAGCUCAACUCCAGAACUGCCUUUGAUACUGUCGAUCUCGAGUCCGGAAGAGGUGAGUGGAACUCCUAGUGUAGAGGUGGAAUUCGUAGAUAUUAGGAAGAACACCAGUGGCGAAGGCGGCUUACUGGCUCAUUCUAGACGCUGAGGUGCGAAAGCGUGGGGAGCAAACAGGAUUAGAUACCCCAGUAGUCCCUGUCUCUUAUAC